AAUCUUGCUUAUGUGUGUCUUCUGUCUAGGCCAUGUGCACAGGGGGCAUUGAGAAAUAUCUCUGGACCAAUCACCUAAAAGAUGUGACUCUCCUCACUUGCCUGGACUCUGCUCAGAAUAGAGAUUUCGACACAUCAGUGGGUUCAACACCUAGGUGAUGCGGCUCUUCCUUCUUUUCUGGGCUCUUCCAUCAGAGAAGAUUGUGACAUUUUCUGAGCCCAGCACUCAAGUGAGGUGACUUGUCUCCCUGGACUCUCCCCACAGACAGCAUUGUGAAAUAUCUUUGGGAUCAUCACCUAGGUUACUGGGAUCUCAAUGUAGAUGUUAUGUCCAGACAGAGGCUGCUGUGAGCUGAAUCGUCUGCUUCCCAAAAUUCCUAUGUUGACACCUUAACCCCCAGCACCUAAGAAUGUGACUAUAUUUGGAGAUAGCAUCAUCACAGAGUCUCAGGGAUGUCUUUAUCAGCAGUAUGAAAAUGAACCAAUUCAUCCCACUUCACUGUUUGAAGAAAAACUGCUGGCUCUAUGGGGUCUUCAAUUUACUGAAUGAUUCCUAGAUGCCUGGCCCUAAUUCACUCAAGAGUCAAGAAAGGUGCCACCUUAUGGUGCUCACUGGGCGGUUGUGGAUGUCUAACCUCAGUGCUAGUCACACAGAACCUGAAGCCAGGCUGGCUGCUCCUGUAAAUGGCAUGGAAUCCCAGGGAAUAUCCUGCAUUCUCAGUGUCCAGCUGUCUGAUGCCACAGUUGUUUAUGAUGAUCGAGGACAACUACGUUUUUCUGAGGAGACUUACCACCUCAUGGCUGAGGAGUCUUGCAAUAAAGUGGCUGCUUCCAAUACCAGAUGGUAUCUCUACUGGGACAAAAUUAAAUUUCUGAAUUACUUUGAAGAAAAAUGAUGAUUGAGUGAUAUUGAGCAUUUCUACCUUAGAACAUGAUUUGGUUUUCCAUUUGUUUAUGCUGAUUUUCUUAUAUUUCAAGGACUUUUUAUGGUCUUUCUCAUAUGCUUAACAAAUGUUUGUUAGAUUUAUGUAUAGCUAGUUUAUUUUAUUUAGUCCUGUUAAAAAGUAAACUGUAGCACAAUACAAAUUUUAAAAGUUUUCUUGGCUGGGAAUGGUGGCUCAUAUCUGUGAUUCCAGCACUUUGAGAGGCCAGGUUGAGGGGAUUACUUGAGCCCAGAAGUUUGAGGCCAGCCUGGGAAAUAUAGUGAGACCCUGUCUCUACAAAAUACAAGAAGAAAUUAGCCAAGUGUGGUGGUGCAUGCCUGUAGUUGCAGCUACUCAUGGGGCUAAGGUGGGAGGAUGGCUUGAGCUCAGGAUGUAAGGCUGCAGAGAGCUUUGAUUCUGUGUACACACUCCAGCAUGGACAAUAGAGCAAGAACCCGUUUUAAAAAUAUUUUCUUGAGAAAGAAGCAACUUAUGAAUUGUGGAACACCAGAGCAAGAGAGGCUUUCCACUUCAACGGCAAAGUGUCAGAGUCAACAAGAUGAGGUCCCUGAGGAUGUCUAACUGAUUCUGUCCACUCGGGAAUGUUUCGGACUUGGUCUUCCUUUUAAUUUACUUUAUAAAUCAUUUUGUAAUUUUUAUCUCCUACUCAUUCUGUAACAGAUAUUGGAUUUCUUACAAGUUGAAGGCUUUUUGCAACCCUAUAUUGAGUGACUCUGUUAACACUAUUUUUCCAACAUCAUGUGACCUUUGUGUGUGUUUACAUCUGUGUCAGCUUUUUUUUGCAAUAAAGUAUAUUUUUAUUAAGGUAACACAACUGACCAGAAGAAAAACAGCCUAGAUCCUGAGCAUUCAGCCUGUGUCUUCACACAACAAACACCACCUGAGUCCCAUCAAAGCCUGUGUUGUUUCCCAACAUCCACCAUUGAGACAUAUUCCAGAGCAGCCUCUCAAAAUCACCUAAACAAGAUGGAACAAGUGUUGGACCAGUAAACAAUUCAUCUUUCUUAUCAAGGCAAAGGUGAGCUCUACCAUGCCGUGGCUCGCAGCCAUCACAAGUAUCGCUGCCAGGGUGAAUGUGAAAGGGUAACACAGUCUCUCCAAUUUUCACUUCAUGUCUAUGCUCAAGGACAUAAGGGUCACAUUUAGUUUGCAGCUGAACCAUCUGUUUUCCAUGAACAAUUGUUCCAUUUUGACUGCCUUUAUCUACAAGGACAUAACUUCGUUAAGUCAUGGUCAAAAUAAAUUUCUGCAUGAAAUUUACUGACUCCAACUUCAGGAUUCAAACAGUAUGCUCCAAAUCAUUUUCUCAGGUGAUAGACAGACAGACACUGAAUUGUUGACCUAUCCAAUAAUCAAUCAAUGCAUUACACAAAAUAAUAGGAUAAAGGAAAGUAACAGAAAGAUCCUUUCAACAGACACAGUGAGCAUUUGACCAAUUCAAUAUUCCUUCACAAUUAGUCUCCCUGGAAAGGAGGAGUAUAAGGAAACUUCCUAGAUCUGCUGAAGGGCAUCAAUGAAAAACUUACAGCUAACCCCAUAAUAAUAAAAUACUGGUUGUUGUGUCAUGACAUUUGAGAACAAGAGGAAAAGGUUAACAUCCAAAGAAAUUACAUAAGAAAAAUAAACACAGUCCUCCAUGUGGGAAAAUAAGAGGUUAGAAAUGUCUAUCAUUGUAGAUAACAUAACUUGAAUAUAAAAAUUUACAAGAAAUUCAUUAAAACCCACUAAAACCAAUAAAUGAGUUCAGCAUGGUCACAAUAUAUAAAAUCAAUAUACAAAGUUCAAUUGUAUUUUAUAUACUACCAUGACCAACCUGAAAAUAAAAUUAAGAAAACAAUUCCAUUUGUAUAUGUAUGAAAAAAAAAAAAAAAA
RNAcentral lists this long non-coding RNA (2815 nucleotides) under Homo sapiens (human). Its description in RNAcentral is "long independently transcribed non-coding RNA 1566 (LINC01566)". The record is from RNAcentral. Lineage: Eukaryota; Metazoa; Chordata; Mammalia; Primates; Hominidae.